ACGAGCCCUAGCUUAAAACUCAAAGGACUUGACGGUAUCCUAACCAACUAGAGGAGCCUGUUCUAUAAUCGAUAACCCACGUUCCACCUAACCACUUCUUGCUUUCAGCCUGUAUACCUCCGUCGCAAGCUUGCCAUUUGAAUGCAUACAGCAUGCUUAAAGGCCUUACGCCAAAACGUCAGGUCAAGGUGCAGCUCAUGAAGUGGGAGUAAUGGGCUACAAUCUCUAACUUAGAACAAACGAAAUAUUACAUGAAACACAAUAUGAAGGAGGAUCUAGCAGUAAAUAAAAAACAAUAGACCUUAUUAAACUCGGCCCUAGGAUGUGUACACACC
RNAcentral lists this ribosomal RNA (335 nucleotides) under Raorchestes blandus. Its description in RNAcentral is "partial 12S ribosomal RNA". It matches the Rfam family "Bacterial small subunit ribosomal RNA", at positions 882 to 1391 of the family's 1533-position model. The record is from RNAcentral. Lineage: Eukaryota; Metazoa; Chordata; Amphibia; Anura; Rhacophoridae.